This is a non-coding RNA of Caerostris darwini, 114 nucleotides long. The record is from the annotation of a GenBank genome assembly. Lineage: Eukaryota; Metazoa; Arthropoda; Arachnida; Araneae; Araneidae.
AGCAGCCGUACCAUGCUGAAUAUACCGGUUCUCGUUAGAUCACCGAAGUUAAAGCAUCAUUGAGCGCCAGUCAGUACUUGGGUGGGUGACCACCUGGGAGGCACCGCGUGCCGU